AUUGAACGCUGGCGGCAUGCCUUACACAUGCAAGUCGAACGGCAGCACGGGAGCAAUCCUGGUGGCGAGUGGCGAACGGGUGAGUAAUAUAUCGGAACGUGCCCAGUAGUGGGGGAUAACUGCUCGAAAGAGCAGCUAAUACCGCAUACGACCUGAGGGUGAAAGGGGGGGAUCGCAAGACCUCUCGCUAUUGGAGCGGCCGAUAUCAGAUUAGCUAGUUGGUGGGGUAAAGGCCUACCAAGGCAACGAUCUGUAGUUGGUCUGAGAGGACGACCAGCCACACUGGGACUGAGACGCGGCACAGUCUCCUUCGGGAGGCGGAAGUGGUGAUUUUUUGACAAUGUGCGCAAGCCUGAUCCAGCAAUGCCGCGUGCAGGAAGAAGGCCUUCGGGUUGUAUACUGCUUUUGUCAGGGAAGAAAUCCUCUAGGUUAAUACCCUUGGGGGGAUGACGGUACCUGAAGAAUAGGCACCGGCUAACUACGUGCCAGCAGCCGCAGUAA
Molecule: ribosomal RNA, 501 nt
Filed under: uncultured bacterium
Lineage: Bacteria
Description: partial 16S ribosomal RNA
Rfam family: Bacterial small subunit ribosomal RNA
Source: RNAcentral